AAGUGCAAUACUGAUCUUCGGAAC
Molecule: microRNA, 24 nt
Filed under: Glycine max (soybean)
Lineage: Eukaryota; Viridiplantae; Streptophyta; Magnoliopsida; Fabales; Fabaceae
Description: gma-miR5768
Source: miRBase by way of RNAcentral